GAUGAACGCUGGCGGCGUGCCUAAUACAUGCAAGUCGAACUUGAUUUUCGGAUUGAGUGGCGAACGGGUGAGUAGCGCGUAGGUAACCAACCCUGUACUGGGGGAUAGCCCCGGGAAACCGGGAUUAAUACCGCAUAAGACUACAGCACCGCAUGGUGCAGUAGUAAAAACUUCGGUGGUACAGGACGGACCUGCGUCUUAUUAGGUAGUUGGUGAGGUAACGGCUCACCAAGCCAACGAUGAGUAGCCGACCUGAGAGGGUGAUCGGCCAAAUUGGGACUGAGAAACGGCCCAAAAUCCUACGGGAGGCAGCAGUGGGGAAUAUUGCGCAAUGGGGGAAACCCUGACGCAGCGACGCCGCGUGAAGGAAGAAGUAUUUCGGUAUGUAAACUUCUAUCAGCAGGGAAGAAAAUGACGGUACCUGACUAAGAAGCCCCGGCUAAUUACGUGCCAGCAGCCGCUGUAAAAC
This 469-nucleotide ribosomal RNA is filed under the name uncultured bacterium. RNAcentral's name for it is "bacterial SSU rRNA". It matches the Rfam family "Bacterial small subunit ribosomal RNA", at positions 28 to 526 of the family's 1533-position model. The record is from RNAcentral.